GUGAUUCACAGUGACAGCAUACUGCUGUUACGGACACCUCGAAGAGAGAGGUCUGAUGCAUUCGCACUCUGAUGAGCCAUAAGGGGAUACUGUGGCAGAUGAUGGCACAUCUCCCCAGAAGCCUUUGGCCUGAAUUUAGCGGGAUACGCCAAGUCUCAAGGUCUGUAUCUUCUGUGUUCUCAAUUCUCAAACUGAAGAGUUUGAUCAAACUCUCACUGGAAUCUAAAGCAUAUGGAAUAAUGCCUGAAGAUGGAGCUGUUUACAAACUUCUGCGGGAUAAAAGGGAACCUAUUUGCAACACAGACUUCAUAGAAACAAGCAUUGUAGUUACUUUUAUCAGAGUUUGCCCUUCCAGAUUAAUGGUGUUGAACUUCUCAUGCUGACCAGAGGGAGCCCAGGAAGAGAUGAAAAGCACACAAUCUACAGAGCAAUAGAGCCUCUCCCACAUGUUCUUGUACAACUUAUAAAAUAUAGGUAUGAUUACUGCCCUUUAUUCAAAGAAACUUAACAGUUGCCUCAUUUCUUUUGGGAACACCACUCUUCCCAAAAGGCCCUAGGAUAAAGUGGAGUCAUGGCUGUCUACUUAUCUCCAAAAUGGCCUUAAGAGACAAAUAUUUUGUAAUAAAAACCAUCUGAAAUUAGCUAUAAAUAAUAAGAUCCAGCAAAAGCUGUCUAUACUCUCAUGCACUGGUAUUCUGAUAAUGUAGAAGUAAAUGAGAAAUUCGUAAGUGAUAUAAGUGGGCUAUAGCUCCAGGUAGUCAACUUCCACUUGCAAUGAAACUGCAAAAGGAAAAGAAACUAAUGAUAAGUUAGUGCUGUGCUCCUGGCAGGUACUACAGCUGAGAUAAUGUCAUUAUGGGUGUUCUGUUUCACUUGAGGUCAGCUUUUUUAAUUUAUAGAUGUCUUACAUCAAAAUGAGAAAUAAUGGUUUUGCCACUGGCUUUUGUUUUCAUAGUUAACCACCUCAAGGUACAUUUACCUUCACCUUUCUAUCCAUAUAUAACUCUCUGGAUCCAGAGAGUUUAUUUUUUAUGAUUAUUUUACCUAAUUUAAAAGGUGAUGAACUAUUAGGAAUGUUUUCAAAAAGUGUUGUAAAAGUAGUGCUGUCAGUGCCAUGUUAUUGCAUGCUAAAUUUUAACAUGAUGUCAGUGAUUGCAGAAACAUCUGAAACACAACUGAAGAGGUGGCUUGGGACACUUACUUUCAUUUUACGGACAACACUCAGAAAUAAUCUUUCAGCUUAUUCUACAGUUACUCCCAAGCAGAACAGAAAUUUUUGUACCUAAGCUCCAUGUCUGUAAAAACUGAACAAGAUAGCCAUGAUCCUAAUACUUCUAAAAUGCUUUUGAGACCAAACAUUGCAUAUGGGAUGAAAAGGAAUGUAACCCUUAUUAUUGCUGCAGAGUCCAGUUUCUUGAUUUUCUGACAGAUUAUUAUAAUCAUUAAUGAUCUAAGUAACUCAUUUUGUUAGAAGUUAUAGAGGAUAACUCCCCAAAAUGAUCAGGUCUUCAUCUCUUUUCUCUAUUUUAUAAAUUCAUUUACUCACUCAUUUGUAUCAGCAUAGAUUACAGCAAACACAGCUUACAAGAACACUCUAACGGGGCAGAAUUUUCUAUCCUUUUCUCUCAUGGGCCACUGAAGAAUCAGCUUUUCAGUCAUAACAGAUUGAAACUGCACGCCUAUGAGCCCAGAAGACCUUUGAAACCAUAUGAAUUAAGAAUCCAAAGCACAACUGAAGAAGAAAUGAACUUAAAUCAAGGCACCUAAAUGACCUGGACGUUUCUAAAACCUUUAUGCAAACCUUUAUACAUAUAUACAACCAGUCAGUUGCUAAGAAUCUCUGCAAGAAUACCAUGCAAUAGAAAGGUUUUUCAUUUUUUUUUUCCAUUUUCUUUUUCCCCUCACUCAAAACCAAAUAAAAAACCCAUUCACUUAAGAAGCGAUUGUCUGUAGACCUUUGAAGCCAAGGCGGGUGACAGCAAGGGCAAGAGGCUUAUUUCAAGGGUCACAUUUCAUUUGCAUAAGCAAGUAACCAUAGGGCACUGUGGAAUGUCUGUAAAUGGAUUUCAUUACAGAAAUUCAGCUUAAAGGGACUAUAAAUAAUCCUCUGACAAACAUUGUAUAUUGCUUCAAGUUCUUCUGUAAUAAAAAUAUUUUAGUAACACAACAAUCCGUGAAAGCAGGAAAUGAAACAGGAGGAGCUGCUCAUCUUCUCCUUUUCUCUCUCAGGGCAACAUUAUAUUGUAAUAUGUUUUAGAGAAGAAAAAUGUGAUAUUCAUAUUAUUUUAGCAAAGUAAUCCUACAAAAACAGACUUAUAUCAUUCCAUAUGGCUGAGACAGGGUGGCUGAACAAAUACUCAGAUCUUUACUAGCUCUUCUCCCCUGGAGAUCAUCUGUUCAGCAUGGACAGGUGUGCAGGCUGCGUGGUAUUCUGCCCAAAGGAACAUCUCAAAAUACAUAUUGGUGUGUAAAUCUUACUGAAUGUAUUUCAGUGCAGAAGCUAUCUAAAUUAUGUGUUUUACUGGAUUGACAUUUUUUGAUGAUAUGAAGAAAAUAUGAAUGUCUAAAGGCCCCUUUUUGGACAAAGCAUUUAAGCAACUUGCUAACUGAAGUGCACACUUAACUCUUGAUUAUUUCUGCAGGACAUGGCUCUAUGGUCAAAAGCUUACCUAAAUGUGGAGGGAUGUUCUCACAUACAGUUAAGUGCAUGUUAAUGCAUGCUGGAUGUUUUCACAUGUCCCUUCCCAGCACAGUCAAGAGUUCAUAGCUAGAUGGAUCUAGGUGGACAUCAGACCCCCUGUUCAACAUCAUGUGCUGAUGGUCUGAGAGGCCCAGGAAGUCACUGGAGCUUUUGCAUUUUUCCUGUGUGUAGAAACAAAUCCUUAGCAUCCCCUUAAAAAUACGUGGCUUGCCAGCUUUGAAGGGAAACUUUGGGCUAUCAUCUCAUCACUACUACAUCUCUCUUGGAAUACUACCUGGAAGGACAUAGACAGUGGCCAAAGCUCUGUUCUGUGCAGGCAGUCACUUCUGGGAGAGAGUUUUGGCCAUGCCCCCAGUCUAUUACAAAAGGUCUCAACAAGCAGUCUCUUUCUACCAUUUCUAAUAAUAUACUUGCAAGGAAAAGAAAAAUAUGGGAUACUUCUUCUAAAGGAAAGAAAAAGUGGGCCCUCACAGCAGUAAUUUAGUCAAUUAAUUUUCAUUUAUGCUAGUUUUUCUUUCCUCCCGUUUACCUUUCUAAUAACUACAAUUAUUCUCACACUGGCAUUACUGUUAUCUCUGGAAUAGAUUUGCUCACACUGAAAAAAUCCAAUUGAGUCAGAGCAUGUAACGAGAAAAUGUAAUCCAUCAUUAUUAAAAAAGACAGCUUACCUUUAUCUGGGUGUUAAAUAGUACAAAUCCAUGAGAGUCAGUGAAUGUUUUGAAGUAAAAACGAAGGGCAUUAUGAAGGCUGAAGUGGAUUUGUCACCGAAUUAUAUGUAUUACCUCAGAAAUGGCCUGCUAUAGGGUUGUAGAAAUAACAUGUUUAGGGGUGGAAAAGAGAAAAUAAUGGUAUUUGCUUGUUUUCUAUAUUUCCAGAGAAACUAAAUGAGCUCUUAAACAUCAGGUUAUUUUGUAGAAAAUUGCAAGAUGAGAAGAAAGGUUGUUCCUGAAAAUAAAUCAUAUUUGUUUCACUCUUCAUACCUGAAUGGUGUUUCUGACAAUAUGCACAUCAG
This 3713-nucleotide long non-coding RNA is filed under the name Gallus gallus (chicken). RNAcentral describes it as "lncRNA (ENSGALG00010005863.1)". The record is from RNAcentral. Lineage: Eukaryota; Metazoa; Chordata; Aves; Galliformes; Phasianidae.